AACGAACGCUGGCGGCAGGCCUAACACAUGCAAGUCGAGCGGACCCUUCGGGGUUAGCGGCGGACGGGUGAGUAACGCGUGGGAAUAUGCCCUUCUCUACGGAAUAGUCCUGGGAAACUGGGGGUAAUACCGUAUACGCCCUUUGGGGGAAAGAUUUAUCGGGGAAGGAUUAGCCCGCGUUGGAUUAGGUAGUUGGUGGGGUAAUGGCCUACCAAGCCUACGAUCCAUAGCUGGUUUGAGAGGAUGAUCAGCCACACUGGGACUGAGACACGGCCCAGACUCCUACGGGAGGCAGCAGUGGGGAAUCUUAGACAAUGGGGGCAACCCUGAUCUAGCCAUGCCGCGUGAGUGAUGAAGGCCUUAGGGUUGUAAAGCUCUUUCAGCGGGGAAGAUAAUGACGGUACCAGCAGAAGAAGCCCCGGCUAACUCCGU
RNAcentral lists this ribosomal RNA (432 nucleotides) under uncultured bacterium. RNAcentral's name for it is "partial 16S ribosomal RNA". It matches the Rfam family "Bacterial small subunit ribosomal RNA", at positions 29 to 506 of the family's 1533-position model. The record is from RNAcentral.